RNAcentral lists this ribosomal RNA (675 nucleotides) under Triticum aestivum (bread wheat). RNAcentral's name for it is "partial small subunit ribosomal RNA". Lineage: Eukaryota; Viridiplantae; Streptophyta; Magnoliopsida; Poales; Poaceae. The record is from RNAcentral.
AUGACGUCCGAUUUUUCUAUAGAGCACUUCAGACAAUUUCUCGAGCUUUGGGCCACCAUCCGGGAUUUUCACCUACAGGAGGAUAUUGACGACGACAUUGUUUGGAAGCAUUCUACUAGUGGCCUCUACACGGCGGAGUCCGCCUACAAAGCGCAGUUUCUCGGCCUCAUUCGCUCUCCCUUGGAGCAUGCAGUAUGGAAAAUCUGGGCUCCACCCAAGGUCAAGUUCUUUGCUUGGCUGGCCAUCCAAAAUAGAGUCUGGACUGCGGAUCGAUUGGCCAAGCGCGGUUGGCCUAACUGUGGCUCAUGCCCCUUAUGCAUGCGUGAGAAUGAAUCGGUUGACCAUCUCUUCUUCAAAUGUCGUUUCACCAUUCGCCUAUGGGGCUUGGUCAAGGCGUGGCUGCAACUCAUUCACAUUGACACCUCUACUUGGCCCCUGAGGCAUUCCACCUUAGACUGGUGGCUUGGGUUAACUGAUGCUUCCGUCCCCAACCGGAAGGCCAUGGCCUCGCUCACCAUGCUCACUACAUGGACGAUCUGGAACGAGCGAAACGCCCGUGUAUUUCGCAACAUGGUCGAUCCGCCUACGGUUCUUCUCGACAACAUCAAAAGGGAGGCAUCAUUUUGGGUCGCCGCCGGAGCUAAGAAACUAGGGUCCAUUAUGCCGGGAAAGUGA